ACGUUAGCGGCGGACGGGUGAGUAACACGUGGGUAAUCUACCUAUAAGACUGGGAUAACUUCGGGAAACCGGAGCUAAUACCGAAUAAUAUUUCGAACCGCAUGGUUCGAUAGUGAAAGAUGGUUUUGCUAUCACUUAUAGAUGGACCCGCGCCGUAUUAGCUAGUUGGUAAGGUAACGGCUUACCAAGGCGACGAUACGUAGCCGACCUGAGAGGGUGAUCGGCCACACUGGAACUGAGACACGGUCCAGACUCCUACGGGAGGCAGCAGCU
Molecule: ribosomal RNA, 273 nt
Filed under: uncultured Staphylococcus sp.
Lineage: Bacteria; Bacillati; Bacillota; Bacilli; Caryophanales; Staphylococcaceae
Description: partial 16S ribosomal RNA
Rfam family: Bacterial small subunit ribosomal RNA
Source: RNAcentral